This 494-nucleotide ribosomal RNA is filed under the name uncultured bacterium. RNAcentral's name for it is "partial 16S ribosomal RNA". It matches the Rfam family "Bacterial small subunit ribosomal RNA", at positions 28 to 507 of the family's 1533-position model. The record is from RNAcentral.
GACGAACGCUGGCGGCGUGCUUAACACAUGCAAGUCGAACGGAAAGGCCUGCUUUCCCUUGUGGAUUGCGGGUACGCGAGUGGCGAACGGGUGAGUAACACGUGAGUGAUCUGGCCCCAACUUGGGUAUAAGCCUGGGAAACUGUGUCUAAUUCCCGAUAGGACUGCAGGGUGGUGCCUGUGGUGGAAGACGAUUUUCUAGUGGUUGGGGAUGAGCUCGCGGCCUAUCAGCUUGUUGGUGGGGUAAUGUCCUACCAAGGCGGCGACGGGUCGCCGGCCUGGGAGGGUCGACGGCCACAUUGGGACUCGGAUACGGCCCAGACGCCAGCGGGAGGCAGCAGUGGGGAAUAUAGCACAAUGGGCGGAAGCCUGAUGCAGCGACGCAGCGUGGGGGAUGACGGCCUUCGGGUUGUAAACUACUUGCGACCGAGAGGAAGCCACCUGAUUGGAAGGGUGGUGACGGUAGUGGUAGAAGAAGCACCGGCUAACUACGUG